Molecule: long non-coding RNA, 464 nt
Filed under: Mus spicilegus (steppe mouse)
Lineage: Eukaryota; Metazoa; Chordata; Mammalia; Rodentia; Muridae
Description: lncRNA (ENSMSIG00000003121.1)
Source: RNAcentral
GGAUCUCUUGCACAGGAUUGCUUGCUUCUGGAGAGGCCAGCAUGGGUCCCAGAAAUAAGAAUGGGGAAGGACUAGGUGCCCUGGGGAGAGCCAUACUUGGACCCUGUGUUCUAGGAAACCCAUUGGCUGUAUUCAGUACAAGCUGCCUCUGUAUGAGGGAGAGGACCCUGGUAUGUUCCUCACAUGUGAGUAUCUGGGUUCCAAUUCUUAUUUCAGUAAAGGCCCAGCGGGAGAUGGACUUCUCACAUGGCUGUGUUGUCCACAGGGUGGAGGCAUGUCAUCUACAUCCAUUUCCUGCCUGGGAAGAAGUCUGCCAUUGCCUACUUCAGGGGCAACAUGAACUAUCAGUACUACCAGAUGAUGAUGUUCAUGGGUUCCCAUUGUGGCCCAUUUAUCACUGUGGACAUUGGGCAGCACGAGCAGUCGUCAUGGUAGGAGGGGUUGCAGCAUUCAGAGGUGGAUGA